UACCAGCACCCCGAGUGGUCGGGACGUUUAUUGGGCCUAAAGCAUCCGUAGCCGGUUCUACAAGUCUUCCGUUAAAUCCACGUCGCUUAACAGAUGGGCUGCGGAAGAUACUAUGGAGCUAGGAGGCGGGAGAGGCAAGCGGUACUCGAUGGGUAGGGGUAAAAUCCGUUGAUCCAUUGAAGACCACCAGUGGCGAAGGCGGCUUGCCAGAACGCGCUCGACGGUGAGGGAUGAAAGCUGGGGGAGCAAACCGG
Molecule: ribosomal RNA, 254 nt
Filed under: uncultured bacterium
Lineage: Bacteria
Description: partial 16S ribosomal RNA
Rfam family: Archaeal small subunit ribosomal RNA
Source: RNAcentral